Molecule: transfer RNA, 71 nt
Filed under: Rhipicephalus microplus (southern cattle tick)
Lineage: Eukaryota; Metazoa; Arthropoda; Arachnida; Ixodida; Ixodidae
Description: tRNA-Gly
Rfam family: tRNA
About the family: Transfer RNA (tRNA) molecules are approximately 80 nucleotides in length.
Source: Rfam by way of RNAcentral
GCGUCGGUGGUUCAGUGGUAGAAUACUCGCCUGCCACGCGGGUGACCCGGGUUCGAUUCCCGGCCGACGCG